RNAcentral lists this unclassified non-coding RNA (348 nucleotides) under soil metagenome. RNAcentral's name for it is "partial contains 5.8S ribosomal RNA, internal transcribed spacer 2, and large subunit ribosomal RNA". The stretch from base 1 to 120 matches the Rfam family "5.8S ribosomal RNA", at positions 35 to 154 of the family's 154-position model. The record is from RNAcentral.
GAUGAAGAACGUAGCGAAAUGCGAUAAGUAAUGUGAAUUGCAGAAUUCAGUGAAUCAUCGAAUCUUUGAACGCACACUGCGCCCGCCAGUAUUCUGGCGGGCAUGCCUGUCUGAGCGUCAUUUCAACCCUCAUGCCCCUAGGGCGUGGUGUUGGGGAUCGGCCAAAGCCCGCGAGGGACGGCCGGCCCCUAAAUCUAGUGGCGGACCCGUCGUGGCCUCCUCUGCGAAGUAGUGAUAUUCCGCAUCGGAGAGCGAUGAGCCCCUGCCGUUAAACCCCCAACUUUCCAAGGUUGACCUCAGAUCAGGUAGGAAUACCCGCUGAACUUAAGCAUAUCAAUAAGAGGAGGA